GCUGGGAACUCUGGGAGACUGCCGGUGAUAAACCGGAGGAAGGCGGGGAUGACGUCAAGUCCUCAUGGCCUUACAUCCCGGGCCUACACACGUGCUACAAUGGCAGGUACAGAGGGCUGCAAUGCCGCAAGGUGGAGCUAAUUCCUAAAACCGUUCUACAGUUCAGAUUGCAGGCUGCAACUCGCCUGCAUGAAGAUGGAAUCGCUAGUAAUCGCGGAUCAGCUACGCCGCGGUGAAUACGUUCUCGGGCCUU
Molecule: ribosomal RNA, 253 nt
Filed under: uncultured Aminicenantes bacterium
Lineage: Bacteria; Candidatus Aminicenantota
Description: partial 16S ribosomal RNA
Rfam family: Bacterial small subunit ribosomal RNA
Source: RNAcentral